GGGGGUGUAACUUAGUGGUAGAGUACUUGCCUAGCAUGCAUGAGACUUGGGCUAGAGCCCCAGCACCACAA
This 71-nucleotide transfer RNA is filed under the name Ictidomys tridecemlineatus (thirteen-lined ground squirrel). RNAcentral describes it as "Spermophilus tridecemlineatus (thirteen-lined ground squirrel) tRNA". It matches the Rfam family "tRNA". Rfam says of the family: Transfer RNA (tRNA) molecules are approximately 80 nucleotides in length. Their secondary structure includes four short double-helical elements and three loops (D, anti-codon, and T loops). The record is from Rfam by way of RNAcentral. Lineage: Eukaryota; Metazoa; Chordata; Mammalia; Rodentia; Sciuridae.